RNAcentral lists this ribosomal RNA (253 nucleotides) under uncultured bacterium. RNAcentral describes it as "partial 16S ribosomal RNA". It matches the Rfam family "Bacterial small subunit ribosomal RNA", at positions 524 to 776 of the family's 1533-position model. The record is from RNAcentral.
UACGGAGGGUGCAAGCGUUAUCCGGAUUUACUGGGUUUAAAGGGUGUGUAGGCGGGUCUUUAAGUCCGUGGUGAAAUCUCCGAGCUCAACUUGGAAACUGCCAUUGAUACUAUUGAUCUUGAAUUUUGUUGAGGUAGGCGGAAUAAGUCAUGUAGCGGUGAAAUGCAUAGAUAUGACUUAGAACACCAAUUGCGAAGGCAGCUUGCUAAACAAAUAUUGACGCUGAGGCACGAAAGCGUGGGGAUCAAACAGG